RNAcentral lists this long non-coding RNA (1664 nucleotides) under Felis catus (domestic cat). Its description in RNAcentral is "lncRNA (ENSFCAG00000050120.1)". Lineage: Eukaryota; Metazoa; Chordata; Mammalia; Carnivora; Felidae. The record is from RNAcentral.
CAACCACCAUUUCAAAUUAAUCUUUUAAGAAGUCCAACCUUUUUGUUUGUUUGUUCCUCUCUUUUUAGCCUUUUCUCCCCGUAGAAAGACCUCACGUGGCCACAUAGGUUUUCCCUCGAAGACUUCAUGUUUUUCUUCAUCACUAGUCUGGGUCUUUUUUAAACAUAAAUAUUCACAAUUGUCUCAGAUAUUUUUAAAUUUAUAGAACCUGAAAUAGGGGACUCUGCUUAGCUGAUGACCUGUCUGAUCUUCCCUCUGGACUGAAGAUCCUGGAUAGGUUUUGAACCUCACUGGGCUGGGCAGUGGGAUUUAGAUAUAAGAAAGAAUAAAAGAGAAAUAAUUUUCACAUUUCUAGCAAGAGUGUUAUAGAGCUUCAACUUCCCAUCAGCUGGGGGAGGAGGAGAGGCUGGGAAGUCUGCCACAAUAUUUGGCAUGGCUGGGCUUCCAGAUUGUAUCUAUUUUUGUAGCUGCACAAGUUGGGAGGAGAUUAGAAGGAUAGUCAAAUUUCCUGCUCCAGGUUGUAAAUUGAUCAAGAGGUGGAAGGAGCACUAGAUUGGGAGGCAGAAGUUCUGGUUCCUGGUUCCAGAUUUUUCAGAUAUUAAUUAUAGGGCUGCAGAAGAGGCCCCUCCCUUCUCCAAACUGCCUUUCCCUCAGUUCUGAACAAGGACGUUGGAUUAGUUGACUUGAUCGCCCCUCCAUCUCUAAUAAUUUCUUUUUCUGAAGUUCUAGGAAUGCUUACCCCAUUUUUAAAAACUUUAUAAACUGUACAAAAGUUCAUUCAUUUGUCAAAAAAUUAAUAGGGAGUAUCUUUGUUAAUAAAUAAAUGUAGAGGUGAAUUCAAAGUCAAAUCUUCAUCCCUGUGUCCUCAGUUUCAAAGCUCUGCUUCUAGCAGUAGUCAGACUGGGCUGAGGUGACGUGCAAACCUACAGAAGGUCCGAGAGCCUUAUAGGAGCCUCCAGACAAAACCAUCCAGAUGCGUCAGAAGCAGAGAAGCCUGUUUGGGCUCCAAAGGGAAGCUGUGAGAAGGACUGAUCCUGAAAGGCUGAAGAACCCAACCUGGUCUCCUAGCAAUGUAGUACCUGAGCUGAACUCCAUCACCUGAAUGGGGUCAGAGGAACUACUGGCUGCAUAGACAUUCAUUCUUUUGGAACCUCAUGUCCAUUGAGAUGUUUGUUUUCCCCAAAUUAAACUGCAGGCCUUGACCAAUUUUUUAUUUCUUGGCACAUCUCCAGGAUCCAACCAAUAUAAUUUAGGUCCCACAGCAAGCAUGUUGUGGUAUAAUCAUAUUUCUCUAUUGUUUUAUUUUUCGUAGUGCACUCACAUGGACUAUCUUAUCCAGUUCUCUCAACAGCUCUAUGAGGCAAUACUAUACCCAUUUUAGAGAUGAGGGAGUAAGAGUACAAGUUUAUGUAGCCAGUGAAUAAGUGACAUUCAAGACUAGACUUCAGAUCUUCAGAUUCUUCUAUAGCUUUAUUUAUUUGUUUAUUUAUUUAUUUAUUUAUUUAUUUAUUGUCAAGUUAGCUAACAUACAGUGUAGCCUUGGCUUCUGGAAUAGAUUCCCAUGAUUCAUCAUUUAGAUACAACACCCAGUGCUCAUCCCAACAAAUCCCCUCCUCAAUCCCCAUCACCCUCUAUAGCUAUAUUUAUAUAAAAAUAAAGAAAUG